GCGGGGGUUGCCAAGUCUGGUCAAAGGCGCAGGGUUUAGGACCCUGUCUCGUAGGAGUUCGCGAGUUCAAAUCUCGUCCCCCGCA
This 85-nucleotide transfer RNA is filed under the name Methanobacteriota archaeon. Its description in RNAcentral is "Euryarchaeota archaeon (groundwater metagenome) tRNA-Leu". It matches the Rfam family "tRNA". From Rfam's summary of the family: Transfer RNA (tRNA) molecules are approximately 80 nucleotides in length. Their secondary structure includes four short double-helical elements and three loops (D, anti-codon, and T loops). The record is from RNAcentral. Lineage: Archaea; Methanobacteriati; Methanobacteriota.